UCGAGGAUUUUUGGCAAUGAGCGCAAGCUUGACCAAGCGAUGCCGCGUGCGGGAUGAAGGCCUUCGGGUUGUAAACCGCUGUCAGUGUGGAGGAAAACUUGGUGUAUAGCCAAGUUUGACUAAUACGCAGAGGAAGUGAGGGCUAAACUCGUGCCAGCAGCCGCGGUAAGACGAGUCUCACAAACGUUAUUCGGAAUUACUGGGCUUAAAGGGUGCGUAGGCGGUGGAGUAAGUCGGAUGUGAAAUACCUUAGCUUAACUAGGGAACUGCACUCGAUACUACUUUGCUAGAGUAAGACAGAGGUGAGUGGAACUGAGGGUGGAGCGGUGAAAUGCGUUGAUAUCCUCAGGAACACCGGUGGCGAAGGCGACUCACUGGGUCUUUACUGACGCUGAUGCACGAAAGCUAGGGUAGCAAACGG
This 421-nucleotide ribosomal RNA is filed under the name uncultured bacterium. RNAcentral describes it as "bacterial SSU rRNA". It matches the Rfam family "Bacterial small subunit ribosomal RNA", at positions 355 to 775 of the family's 1533-position model. The record is from RNAcentral.